GACGAACGCUGGCGGCGUGCUUAACACAUGCAAGUCGAACGGAAAGGCCCUGCUUUUGUGGGGUGCUCGAGUGGCGAACGGGUGAGUAACACGUGAGUAACCUGCCCUUGACUUUGGGAUAACUUCAGGAAACUGGGGCUAAUACCGGAUAGGAGCUCCUGCUGCAUGGUGGGGGUUGGAAAGUUUCGGCGGUCGGGGAUGGACUCGCGGCUUAUCAGCUUGUUGGUGGGGUAGUGGCUUACCAAGGCUUUGACGGGUAGCCGGCCUGAGAGGGUGACCGGCCACAUUGGGACUGAGAUACGGACCAGACUCCUACGGGAGGCAGCAGUGGGGAAUAUUGCACAAUGGGCGGAAGCCUGAUGCAGAAACGCCGCGUGCGGGACGACGGCCUUCGGGUUGUAAACCGCUUUCGCCUGUGACGAAGCGUGAGUGACGGUAAUGGGUAAAGAAGCACCGGCUAACUACGUG
RNAcentral lists this ribosomal RNA (468 nucleotides) under uncultured bacterium. Its description in RNAcentral is "partial 16S ribosomal RNA". It matches the Rfam family "Bacterial small subunit ribosomal RNA", at positions 28 to 507 of the family's 1533-position model. The record is from RNAcentral.